GACGAACGCUGGCGGCGCGCCUAACACAUGCAAGUCGAACGGAGUCACGAGGAGCUUGCUUUUCUUGACUUAGUGGCGAACGGGUGAGUAACGCGUGAGUAACCUGCCCUGGAGUGGGGGACAACAGUUGGAAACGACUGCUAAUACCGCAUAAGCCCACGGAUCCGCAUGGUUCUGCGGGAAAAGGAUUUAUUCGCUUCAGGAUGGACUCGCGUCCAAUUAUCUAGUUGGUGAGGUAACGGCCCACCAAGGCGACGAUUGGUAGCCGGACUGAGGAGAUGAACGGACACAUUGGGAGUGAGACACGGCCCAGACUCCUACGGGAGGCAGCAGUGGGGGAUAUUGCACAAUGGGGGAAACCCUGAUGCAGCGACGCCGCGUGGAGGAAGAAGGUGUUAGGAUUGUAAACUCCUGUCGUUAGGGACGAUAAUGACGGUACCUAACAAGAAAGCAACGGCUAACUACGUG
This 468-nucleotide ribosomal RNA is filed under the name uncultured bacterium. Its description in RNAcentral is "partial 16S ribosomal RNA". It matches the Rfam family "Bacterial small subunit ribosomal RNA", at positions 28 to 507 of the family's 1533-position model. The record is from RNAcentral.